Molecule: ribosomal RNA, 399 nt
Filed under: uncultured bacterium
Lineage: Bacteria
Description: partial 16S ribosomal RNA
Rfam family: Bacterial small subunit ribosomal RNA
Source: RNAcentral
AAUAUUGCACAAUGGGCGAAAGCCUGAUGCAGCAACGCUGCUUGAGUGAUGAAGGCCUUCGGGUCGUAAAGUUCUUUGAUCAGGGAAGAUAAUGACAGUACCUGAAAAACAAGUCACGGCUAACUACGUGCCAGCAGCCGCGGUAAUACGUAGGUGGCGAGCGUUGUCCGGAAUUAGUGGGCGUAAAGGAUGCGUAGGUGGAUACUUAAGUGGGAUGUGAAAUCCCCGGGCUCAACCCGGGAACUGAAUUCCAAACUGGGUAUCUAGAGUGCAGAAGAAGAAAGCGGAAUUCCUAGUGUAGCAGUGAAAUGCGUAGAUAUUAGGAGGAACACCAGUGGCGAAGGCGGCUUUCUGGACUGUAACUGACACUGAGGCAUGAAAGCGUGGGUAGCAAACAGG